This 71-nucleotide transfer RNA is filed under the name Stegodyphus mimosarum. It matches the Rfam family "tRNA". Rfam says of the family: Transfer RNA (tRNA) molecules are approximately 80 nucleotides in length. Their secondary structure includes four short double-helical elements and three loops (D, anti-codon, and T loops). The record is from Rfam by way of RNAcentral. Lineage: Eukaryota; Metazoa; Arthropoda; Arachnida; Araneae; Eresidae.
GCCUUCGUGGUGUGAUAGUAGCACACUCGGCUCGUAUUCGAGUGGUCCAAGUUCGAGCCCCGGCGAGGGCG